Molecule: ribosomal RNA, 503 nt
Filed under: uncultured bacterium
Lineage: Bacteria
Description: partial 16S ribosomal RNA
Rfam family: Bacterial small subunit ribosomal RNA
Source: RNAcentral
AUUGAACGCUGGCGGCAGGCUUAACACAUGCAAGUCGAGCGGGGUGAUGGUGCUUGCACUAUCACUUAGCGGCGGACGGGUGAGUAAUGCUUAGGAAUCUGCCUAUUAGUGGGGGACAACAUCUCGAAAGGGAUGCUAAUACCGCAUACGUCCUACGGGAGAAAGCAGGGGAUCACUUGUGACCUUGCGCUAAUAGAUGAGCCUAAGUCGGAUUAGCUAGUUGGUGGGGUAAAGGCUUACCAAGGCGACGAUCUGUAGCGGGUCUGAGAGGAUGAUCCGCCACACUGGGACUGAGAGACGGCCCAGACUCCUACGGGAGGCAGCAGUGGGGAAUAUUGGACAAUGGGGGGAACCCUGAUCCAGCCAUGCCGCGUGUGUGAAGAAGGCCUUAUGGUUGUAAAGCACUUUAAGCGAGGAGGAGGCUCUUUUGGUUAAUACCCAAGAUGAGUGGACGUUACUCGCAGAAUAAGCACCGGCUAACUCUGUGCCAGCCGCCGCAGUAA